UACGUAGGGUGCAAGCGUUGUCCGGAAUUAUUGGGCGUAAAGAGCUCGUAGGCGGUUUGUCGCGUCUGCUGUGAAAACUCAGGGCUUAACUCUGAGCUUGCAGUGGGUACGGGCAGACUAGAGUGCGGUAGGGGAGACUGGAAUUCCUGGUGUAGCGGUGAAAUGCGCAGAUAUCAGGAGGAACACCGGUGGCGAAGGCGGGUCUCUGGGCCGUAACUGACGCUGAGGAGCGAAAAGCAUGGGGAGCGAACAGG
Molecule: ribosomal RNA, 254 nt
Filed under: uncultured bacterium
Lineage: Bacteria
Description: partial 16S ribosomal RNA
Rfam family: Bacterial small subunit ribosomal RNA
Source: RNAcentral